Molecule: long non-coding RNA, 493 nt
Filed under: Sus scrofa (pig)
Lineage: Eukaryota; Metazoa; Chordata; Mammalia; Artiodactyla; Suidae
Description: lncRNA (ENSSSCG00015013834.1, ENSSSCG00035004725.1)
Source: RNAcentral
CACUGCUGGCAACAACAAUGGCAUGAUGCAACACCCUGGCUACCGGCAGGUGUGGUCGGUAAUGGAUGGGACUGAAUUUGGAGCCAUCUCAAAGUGAUGACAGACCAUAUGGCCAAUUCCUCUGCCCAAAUAACGUGUGCAUAUGGAAACAGGAAUACAAAGGCAACACGGGACUGUAGAAGCUCAGCCACGAGGGAAAGCAAGCCUUUGGAAAAUCAACUAUGCUGUGAAGACUUUCUCCCUGAGCCUUGCCUUCUUAUCUGGAAUGUUUCAGCCUUGGGAAAAUUGCUUAAAAAGAGCUCUGCUUUCUCUCCCCAGGACUGAUGGUGUACAGAUUGGAUCAUGUAUGGAAUGGAUUCUUAUUUUCCAUAUGCAGAAGCCUAUAUUUUUAAGUAAUUUGCGAGCCGGAUUCCUCAGGAGACGACCAGGUUGCUGGCUUAGUAGAAAAACCCCCCUGAAUUCAGGACCUGAAUUCAGUAAGACCAGAUUCUAG